UACGGAGGGUGCAAGCGUUAUCCGGAAUCACUGGGUUUAAAGGGUGCGUAGGCGGCUUAUUAAGUCAGAGGUGAAAUCCCGGAGCUUAACUUCGGAACUGCCUUUGAUACUGGUAAGCUUGAAACAGGACGAGGUUGGCGGAAUGUGGCAUGUAGCGGUGAAAUGCAUAGAUAUGCCAUAGAACACCGAUUGCGAAGGCAGCUGGCUAGACCUGCUUUGACGCUGAGGCACGAAAGCGUGGGGAGCAAACAGGAUUAGAUACCCUGGUAGUCCACGCCCUAAACGAUGUUCACUCGACGUACGGCCGUUAGGCGGUGCGUCCAAGCGAAAGCGAUAAGUGAACCACCUGGGGAGUACGUCGGCAACGAUGAA
This 372-nucleotide ribosomal RNA is filed under the name uncultured bacterium. RNAcentral describes it as "bacterial SSU rRNA". It matches the Rfam family "Bacterial small subunit ribosomal RNA", at positions 524 to 898 of the family's 1533-position model. The record is from RNAcentral.